GUCUGGAAAACUGCNUGAUGGAGGGAGAUAACUACUGGAAACGGUANCUAAUACCGCAUAAUGUCGCAAGACCAAAGAGGGGGACCUUCGGGCCUCUUGCCAUCGGAUGUGCNCAGAUGGGAUUAGCUAGUAGGUGGGGUAACGGCUCACCUAGGCGACGAUCCCUAUCUGGUCUGAGAGGAUGACCAGCCACANUGGAACUGANACACGGUCCAGACUCCUACGGGAGGCAGCAGUGGGGAAUAUUGCACANUGGGCGCAAGCNUGAUGCAGCCNUGCCGCGUGUAUGAAGAAGGCCUUCGGGUUGUAAAGUACUUUCAGCGGGGAGGAAGGCGAUAAGGUUAAUAACCUUGUCGAUUGACGUUACCCGCAGAAGAANCACCGGCUAACUCCGUGCCAGCAGCCGCGGUAAUACGGAGGGUGCAAGCGUUAAUCGGAAUUACUGGGCGUAAAGCGCACGCAGGCGGUCUGUCAAGUCGGAUGUGAAAUCCCCGGGCUCAACCUGGGAACUGCAUUCUAAACUGGCAGGCUAUAGUCUUGUAUAG
Molecule: ribosomal RNA, 545 nt
Filed under: Enterobacter sp.
Lineage: Bacteria; Pseudomonadati; Pseudomonadota; Gammaproteobacteria; Enterobacterales; Enterobacteriaceae
Description: bacterial SSU rRNA
Rfam family: Bacterial small subunit ribosomal RNA
Source: RNAcentral